Molecule: long non-coding RNA, 270 nt
Filed under: Lotus japonicus
Lineage: Eukaryota; Viridiplantae; Streptophyta; Magnoliopsida; Fabales; Fabaceae
Description: long non-coding RNA (LJAP_LNC000535)
Source: RNAcentral
AUCGCAGAUUCUUUCGGACAGGCUGAAGGAUGGGAACGAGACACAGGGACGGGUUGGCAGCGCCUCUGAGUGGAACCUGACUCAUUCUCUCAACUGGGUUCGUGCCUCCAAAGAAGGAUAAGAAGAGGAAUCAACGGCGGAGCUCGCCGUUCCAUAAGGUGAAGAAGACAGAUUGGAGGCCAAAUAGGCGAGAGAGAAGAGGAAGAAGUGACCCAGGUGAUUUCUUCGAGCUCCUUCAACUGUAGCACGCAUCAUAUCUGAGGGUUAAAG